This 62-nucleotide transfer RNA is filed under the name Gekko gecko (tokay). RNAcentral's name for it is "tRNA-Tyr". The record is from RNAcentral. Lineage: Eukaryota; Metazoa; Chordata; Lepidosauria; Squamata; Gekkonidae.
GGGUGGCCGAGACUAGGCGGUGAGUUGUAGCCUCAUGAACGGAGGUAAAGGCCCUCCUACUA